UAGAAAGGAAAUCUUUUAAAAACAUAUUUUAGAGUGUUUUAUUGUGGAAAUGUCCUCAAACAUUUUCAUCCCAUUUUCCCAGAGAAGCCUGACAGCCCAGGGAGCAGGGGCGGGGCUGGGGUGGGGAAGAACAAAACGCAGCGGCCACACCCUUGAACUCUUUUGUGUGUUCAGAACAAUGUCUAGUUAAAAUAAAACAAUAUUGCCGCUAAGCACGCCUAAAAUAGUCCUCGGUGAGUGCUCCUGCCCCAUGGCAGGGUCCCUGCGGAGGGCGGUGCGCGGGGGCCGAGGGCCCGGGCCUGAGCUCGGCCCGGCCGGCAGCGGGGCGCACGGAGGCUGGGUGCCCCGCAGCCCGGGCACAGCUGGCACGGCCGGCUGCCCGGGCCCUCACGCCCAUCCCGCCGCCGGCCCUGCACCCGGGCGGAAAGCAAAAGCCCGGGCCAGGCCCGGGGGGCGGGUGAAGCUCAUAAAGCAGAAGUCACGAAGUCUGGAGCUCCGGCCAGAUUUCCUGGGAAGGCUGGGACUCGUUACCACAAGAGCAGGCCAUGAUACAGUGAACCCAGCGCCUCCGGCUUCGGCCUGUUCUGUGUGCACCCCCUUGACUUCUGCUCUCCCAGCGCUACCGCAAAGCGCGCGAGCCGUUGGGUGCGGCUCCUGAUCCUGAAUUUCCAGCCUCCAGACCUGUGAG
RNAcentral lists this long non-coding RNA (688 nucleotides) under Chinchilla lanigera (long-tailed chinchilla). Its description in RNAcentral is "lncRNA (ENSCLAG00000028764.1)". Lineage: Eukaryota; Metazoa; Chordata; Mammalia; Rodentia; Chinchillidae. The record is from RNAcentral.